This 468-nucleotide ribosomal RNA is filed under the name uncultured bacterium. RNAcentral's name for it is "partial 16S ribosomal RNA". It matches the Rfam family "Bacterial small subunit ribosomal RNA", at positions 28 to 507 of the family's 1533-position model. The record is from RNAcentral.
GACGAACGCUGGCGGCGUGCUUAACACAUGCAAGUCGAACGGAAAGGCCCUGCUUUUGUGGGGUGCUCGAGUGGCGAACGGGUGUGUAACACGUGAGUAACCUGCCCUUGACUUUGGUAUAACUUCAGGAAACUGGGGCUAAUCCCGGAUAGGAGCUCCUGCUGCAUGGUGGUGGUUGGAAAGUUUCGGCGGUUGGGGAUGGACUCGCGGAUUAUCAGCUUGUUGGUGGGGUAGUGGCUUACCAAGGCUUUGACGGGUAGCCGGCCUGAGAGGGUGACCGGCCACAUUGGGACAGAGAGACGGCACAGACUAAGACGGGAGGCAGAAGUGGGGAAUAUUGCAAAAUGGGCGGAAGCCGGAUGCAGCAACGCCGCGUGCGGGAUGACGGCCUUAGGGUUGUAAACCGCUUUCGCCGGUGAAGAAGCGUGAGUGACGGUAAUGGGUAAAGAAGCACCGGCUAACUACGUG